Molecule: ribosomal RNA, 484 nt
Filed under: uncultured bacterium
Lineage: Bacteria
Description: partial 16S ribosomal RNA
Rfam family: Bacterial small subunit ribosomal RNA
Source: RNAcentral
AUUGAACGCUCGCGGGAUGCUUUACACAUGCAAGUCGAACGGCAGCGCGGACUUCGGUCUGGCGGCGAGUGGCGAACGGGUGAGUAAUGUAUCGGAACGUGCCCAGUAGCGGGGGAUAACUACUCGAAAGCGUAGCUAAUACCGCAUACGCCCUACGGGGGAAAGCAGGGGAUCGUAAGACCUUGCACCAUUGGAGCGGCCGAUAUCGGAUUAGCUAGUUGGUGAGGUAACGGCUCACCAAGGCGACGAUCCGUAGCUGGUUUGAGAGGACGACCAGCCACACUGGGACUGAGACACGGCCCAGACUCCUACGGGAGGCAGCAGUGGGGAAUUUUGGACAAUGGGGGCAACCCUGAUCCAGCCAUCCCGCGUGUGGGAUGAAGGCCUUCGGGUUGUAAAGCACUUUUGGCAGGAAAGAAACGUCGCGGGCUAAUACCCCGUGGAACUGACGGUACCUGCAGAAUAAGCACCGGCUAACUACGUG